GCAAACUUGGUCAUUUAGAGGAAGUAAAAGUCGUAACAAGGUCUCCGUUGGUGAACCAGCGGAGGGAUCAUUGAAGGAAAAGGGCGCAAGCCCCCAUCCUCCAACCCUUUGUGAACAUACCUAUUCUCGUUGCCUCGGCGGUGCCGGGCCUGGCCCCCCCGUAUCUCACGAUAGGGGGAGCAGCCCGCCGGCGGCCUUCUAAACUCUUGUUUCUAAGUGUAUCUUCUGAGUAAAGCUUCUAAAUAAGUAAAAACUUUCAGCAACGGAUCUCUUGGUUCUGGCAUCGAUGAAGAACGCAGC
This 300-nucleotide unclassified non-coding RNA is filed under the name uncultured fungus. Its description in RNAcentral is "partial contains small subunit ribosomal RNA, internal transcribed spacer 1, and 5.8S ribosomal RNA". The stretch from base 1 to 73 matches the Rfam family "Eukaryotic small subunit ribosomal RNA", at positions 1759 to 1831 of the family's 1831-position model. Lineage: Eukaryota; Fungi. The record is from RNAcentral.